RNAcentral lists this ribosomal RNA (264 nucleotides) under uncultured prokaryote. RNAcentral describes it as "partial 16S ribosomal RNA". It matches the Rfam family "Bacterial small subunit ribosomal RNA", at positions 524 to 787 of the family's 1533-position model. The record is from RNAcentral.
UACGUAGGGUGCGAGCGUUGUCCGGAAUUACUGGGCGUAAAGAGCUCGUAGGCGGUUUGUCGCGUCGUCUGUGAAAUCCUCCAGCUUAACUGGGGGCGUGCAGGCGAUACGGGCAGACUUGAGUACUACAGGGGAGACUGGAAUUCCUGGUGUAGCGGUGAAAUGCGCAGAUAUCAGGAGGAACACCGGUGGCGAAGGCGGGUCUCUGGGUAGUAACUGACGCUGAGGAGCGAAAGCAUGGGUAGCGAACAGGAUUAGAUACCA